AAGUCUUUACGGAGAAAGCUUUAUGCGCCGAAGGAUGAGCCUGCAUUUGAUUAGUUUGUUGGUGGGGUAAUGGCCUACCAAGACUUUGAUCAAUAGCUGAUCUGAGAGGAUGAUCAGCCACAUUGGGACUGAGACACGGCCCAAACUCCUACGGGAGGCAGCAGUAGGGAAUAUUGCACAAUGGAGGAAACUCUGAUGCAGCGAUGCCGCGUGAGUGAA
This 219-nucleotide ribosomal RNA is filed under the name uncultured bacterium. RNAcentral's name for it is "partial 16S ribosomal RNA". It matches the Rfam family "Bacterial small subunit ribosomal RNA", at positions 189 to 409 of the family's 1533-position model. The record is from RNAcentral.